GUGAUUUAAAACGGCAUAUACAGCAUGGUCCUUUUUUAAAAUUUCUUCGCUAUCAUUCUAUCUGUAUAGGUACACAUAAAUCUGUCAAAAUAAUAUAAGAAAAUGAAGCUAAAGGAAUUUUUGAAUUUCAAGUAUUUACAGAGACAUUAUCUUCUACAAUGGCAAAAGUAUAAAACAAAAAGCAAUUGUAGUCAUUAUGCUUUUUAUUUUUUAAACUGUUAAUUUUAGAUAAUUUAUAUUGAUUUGAGAAUAUUAUUCUCACCCUUCCUCCAACAG
This 276-nucleotide long non-coding RNA is filed under the name Homo sapiens (human). RNAcentral's name for it is "HSALNT0219517". Lineage: Eukaryota; Metazoa; Chordata; Mammalia; Primates; Hominidae. The record is from RNAcentral.